AACGAACGCUGGCGGCAUGCCUAACACAUGCAAGUCGAACGAGACCUUCGGGUCUAGUGGCGCACGGGUGCGUAACGCGUGGGAACCUGCCCUUAGGUUCGGAAUAACUCCCCGAAAGGGGUGCUAAUACCGGAUAAUGUCUUCGGACCAAAGAUUUAUGGCCUUUGGAUGGGCCCGCGUUGGAUUAGCUAGUUGGUAGGGUAAAAGCCUACCAAGGCGACGAUCCAUAGCUGGUCUGAGAGGAUGAUCAGCCACACUGGGACUGAGACACGGCCCAGACUCCUACGGGAGGCAGCAGUGGGGAAUAUUGGACAAUGGGCGAAAGCCUGAUCCAGCAAUGCCGCGUGAGUGAUGAAGGCCUUAGGGUUGUAAAGCUCUUUGACCCGGGAUGAUAAUGACAGUACCGGGAGAAUAAGCACCGGCUAACUACGUG
This 433-nucleotide ribosomal RNA is filed under the name uncultured bacterium. RNAcentral's name for it is "partial 16S ribosomal RNA". It matches the Rfam family "Bacterial small subunit ribosomal RNA", at positions 29 to 507 of the family's 1533-position model. The record is from RNAcentral.